Molecule: long non-coding RNA, 881 nt
Filed under: Monodelphis domestica (gray short-tailed opossum)
Lineage: Eukaryota; Metazoa; Chordata; Mammalia; Didelphimorphia; Didelphidae
Description: lncRNA (ENSMODG00000049665.1)
Source: RNAcentral
GCCCGGAAUCAAAAAGAAAGGAACUCCCUCGCGUCCCUACCCGGGAGGAGCUCCCAUCCGAAUGGGGAGACAACAUAGAGAGGGACACACGUAAGCGACGGCCCAGCUCUGCCGCUCUUUGUUCGAAGUCUCCUUCCAGCCCCGACAUUGUCCAGAUCUCAGUGUUUUCCUCCGUCCUUCUUGUUGCUGAUUUUAGUUCCAAAACUCGGGCGCUGGGGGUGGGGGAGGGAAGCCAGCCGGGGCUCUAACCUUUGGGGGCUUUGCUCGGUCCUUUUAUCAUAGGUAACCAUUCAUCUCACUUCCCCGUUCCCGGUUUGUGUCAUUUGCAUUUUAAUUGGUGGGUCCCAGAGCAAAUUACCCAGAGAGAGCUUUUGAUCCUACCGCCCCUUGAACCCCGCUGGUGCCGCUGAGAUAAAUCUCCCUGGCCCCGACUGAGGCCAGUGAGCGCAGCUGCUGACAGGUGCCGGAUGCUCUCAGGGGAAAACGUUUCAUCAAUUAUCAUAAUUGACACCGAUAGCAGACAGCCGACUUAACAAAUAGCCAAAUGUGUUGCCAGGAGGAGGGGGAAAGAGCCCAAAUGGGUCACACUUGUGGAGAUGUCUCCUUGGGGGUCUCGGGAAGCUUAGCUCUGCUGUCAUUGACCAAUCAGAAGGGAGACUGACACGUGAAAUGCCACGAGGGCCAGCCAGAAGAGCUGCGUGGGCUUAGGGGUCUAGUUUUAGCUUUGGUGACCCAUGCUAGGCUGUACCACCUCUGGUAAGUCCCUCAUCGGGCUCAGACAGCUGGACUUGGAGACAGCAGGGUUCUGGGUUCCAAACGGCCCUGCUUCUGCCAUGUACAAGUUGUCCCAUCACAAGACACCUGGGGACUCAGCACAUUGA